Molecule: ribosomal RNA, 1411 nt
Filed under: metagenome
Description: bacterial SSU rRNA
Rfam family: Archaeal small subunit ribosomal RNA
Source: RNAcentral
UCUAUUAGGAUUCGACUAAGCCAUGCAAGUCAGGGGAUUCUUCGGAAUCACCGGCAAAAUGCUCAGUAACACGUCGAUAAUUUGACCUUAAGUCUAGGAUAACCUUGGGAAACUGAGGCUAAUACUGGAUAGAAUAUUUCUACUGGAAUGUUAUAUAUUCUAAAGCUACGGUGCUUAAGGAUAAGUCGGCGGCUGAUUAGGCUGUUGGUGGGGUAAAGGCCCACCAAACCUACGAUCAGUACGGGCCUUGAGAGAGGUAACCCGGAGAAGGACACUGAGAUACUGGUCCUAGCCCUACGGGGUGCAGCAGGCGCGGAACCUUUACAAUGCACGUAAGUGUGAUAAGGGGAUCCUAAGUGCUUAUGCUUAGCAUAGGCUUUUGCUAAGAGUAAAAAUCUUGGCGAAUAAGUGGUGGGAAAGACUGGUGCCAGCAGCCGCGGUAACACCAGCGCCACAAGUGGCAAUCACUUUUAUUGGGCCUAAAGCGUCCGUAGCCGUUUGGAAAAUCUUUUGUGAAAUCGUUAGACUCAAUUUAACGGCGUGCAGAAGACACUACCAGACUUGGAACCGGAAGGAGUCAGAAGUAUUGUUGGGGGAGCGGUAAAAUGUUGUAAUCCCAGCAAGACCACCUGUGGCGAAGGCGUCUGACUAGUACGGAUUCGACGGUGAGGGACGAAAGCCAGGGGAGCAAAACGGAUUAGAUACCCGAGUAGUCCUGGCUGUAAACGCUGCGAGUAAGGUGUUGCGUAUUCUUCGUGAAUAUGCAGUGUCGAAACGAAGGUAUUAAACUCGCCGCCUGGGAAGUAUGGUCGCAAGACUGAAACUUAAAGGAAUUGGCGGGGGAGCACCACAAGGGGUGCGGCGUGCGGUUUAAUCUAAUUCAACGCAGAGAAUCUCACCAGAAGCGACGGCAGGAUGACAGUCAGUCUGAAGGGCUUACUUGACGAGCCGAGAGGUGGUGCAUGGCCGCCGUCAGCUCGUGCCGUGAGGUGUCCUCUUAAGUGAGGCAACGAGCGAGACCUGCACCUACAAUUGCUAACAACCGAUUCUCGGGAUUGAGCACAAUGUAGGAACUGCCUUGGAAACAAGGAGGAAGGUGCAGGCUACGGUAGGUCUGUAUGCCCCGAAUCUUCUGGGCUACACGCGCGCAACAAUGAUAGGGACAAUGGGAUACAACUCCGAAAGGAGAAGUUAAACCUCUAAACCCUAUCCAAGUACAGAUUGAAGGCUGUAACUCGCCUUCAUGACGAUGGAAUCCCUAGUAAUUGGACUUCAUCACGGUCCAGUGAAUAUGUCCCUGCUCCUUGCACACACCGCCCGUCAAACCAUCCGAGCAGGGUUAGAUGAGCAGCAACUUUUUUGGUUAUUUCGAAUCUAAGCUCAGUGAGGAGGGUUAAGUCGUCACAAGGUA